This 360-nucleotide long non-coding RNA is filed under the name Homo sapiens (human). RNAcentral describes it as "HSALNT0134606". Lineage: Eukaryota; Metazoa; Chordata; Mammalia; Primates; Hominidae. The record is from RNAcentral.
AGAAAAAGUGAGAGAUAAGCAGUGUCAGCGUCAAAGCCCAGAAAUGCAGAAGGUCCUGAGGCCUGCCAGAAAUGACGCCCAGGGCAGCAGGGCCACAGUCACUCACUCUCAGGUCUCUGUAGGUUCCUUUUGCUUCCGUUGCAGCUGUGCAAGUCUACGAAAUUGUCUUCUGGGCCUGGUACCUAGCAUUACCUAGCACUUCAGCUUUUCUCAGACAGGGCUUUUUCUACAAACACAUCAUGAUCUGCACUGAGCUCGCUGGACUAGACAACCCUAUUUUCAACCCAAUGAUGGAAAACUUACAUUCAAGCACCAUUAGCACUAGAACAUUUCUGCAAAAAUAAAAUGUUACACCAAGAA